Molecule: ribosomal RNA, 30 nt
Filed under: Culicoides pulicaris
Lineage: Eukaryota; Metazoa; Arthropoda; Insecta; Diptera; Ceratopogonidae
Description: 2S ribosomal RNA
Source: RNAcentral
UGUGUGGGGUACAAAUGGUUGAGUGUCGUU